This 88-nucleotide transfer RNA is filed under the name Candidatus Cloacimonadota bacterium. RNAcentral's name for it is "Candidatus Cloacimonetes bacterium tRNA-Leu". It matches the Rfam family "tRNA". Rfam says of the family: Transfer RNA (tRNA) molecules are approximately 80 nucleotides in length. Lineage: Bacteria; Pseudomonadati; Candidatus Cloacimonadota. The record is from RNAcentral.
GCGAAAGUGGCGGAAUUGGUAGACGCGCUGGACUUAGAAUCCAGUGAGAGAUGAUCUCGUAGGGGUUCGAGUCCCCUCUUUCGCACCA